RNAcentral lists this ribosomal RNA (407 nucleotides) under uncultured bacterium. RNAcentral's name for it is "partial 16S ribosomal RNA". It matches the Rfam family "Bacterial small subunit ribosomal RNA", at positions 30 to 526 of the family's 1533-position model. The record is from RNAcentral.
AUUGAACGCUGGCGGCAGGCCUAACACAUGCAAGUCGAGCGGAGCGGCGGACGGGUGAGUAAUGCCUAGGAAUCUGCCUGGUAGUGGGGGCUAACGUCCGGAAACGGGCGCUAAUACCGCAUACUAUCAGAUGAGCCUAGUUCGGAUUAGCUAGUUGGUGGGGUAAAGGCCUACCAAGGCGACGAUCCGUAACUGUCCUGAGAGGAGGAUCAGUCACACUGGAACUGGAGAACGGUCCAGACCCUUCCGGGAGGCAGCGUGGGGGAAUUUUGGACAAGGGGCGAAAGCCUGGUUCAGCCCUGCCGCGGGUGUGAAGAAGGUCUUCGGGUUGUAAAGGACUUUUAGUUGGGAGGCGUUACCAACAGAAUAAGCACCGGCUAACUUCGUGCCAGCAGCCGCGGUAAUAC